GCCGUCGUAGCUCAGCCUGGAAGAGCACUCGGCUGAAGACCGGGCUGUCGUGAGCUCAAAUCUCACCGGCGGCA
RNAcentral lists this transfer RNA (74 nucleotides) under Thermoproteota archaeon. RNAcentral's name for it is "tRNA-Phe". It matches the Rfam family "tRNA". Rfam says of the family: Transfer RNA (tRNA) molecules are approximately 80 nucleotides in length. Lineage: Archaea; Thermoproteati; Thermoproteota. The record is from RNAcentral.